GAGUUUGAUCCUGGCUCAGGACGAACGCUGGCGGCGCGCCUAACACAUGCAAGUCGAACGGAGCUUAGAGAGCUUGCUUUUUAAGCUUAGUGGCGAACGGGUGAGUAACGCGUGAGUAACCUGCCCUGGAGUGGGGGACAACAGUUGGAAACGACUGCUAAUACCGCAUAAGCCCACGGUACCGCAUGGUACUGAGGGAAAAGGAUUUAUUCGCUUUAGGAUGGACUCGCGUCCAAUUAGCUAGUUGGUGAGGUAACGGCCCACCAAGGCGACGAUUGGUAGCCGGACUGAGAGGUUGAACGGCCACAUUGGGACUGAGACACGGCCCAGACUCCUACGGGAGGCAGCAGUGGGGGAUAUUGCGCAAUGGGGGAAACCCUGACGCAGCAACGCCGCGUGAAGGAAGAAGGUCUUCGGAUUGUAAACUUCUUUUAUCAGGGACGAAGUAAGUGACGGUACCUGAUGAAUAAGCCACGGCUAACUACGUGCCAGCCGCCGCGGUAAUAC
RNAcentral lists this ribosomal RNA (507 nucleotides) under uncultured bacterium. Its description in RNAcentral is "bacterial SSU rRNA". It matches the Rfam family "Bacterial small subunit ribosomal RNA", at positions 9 to 526 of the family's 1533-position model. The record is from RNAcentral.